RNAcentral lists this transfer RNA (69 nucleotides) under Marmota monax (woodchuck). Its description in RNAcentral is "tRNA.Ala". Lineage: Eukaryota; Metazoa; Chordata; Mammalia; Rodentia; Sciuridae. The record is from RNAcentral.
GGAUUGUGGCUCAGUGGUAGAGCUCUUGUCUAGCAUGUACGAGGCCCUGGGGUUCGAUCCUCAGCACCA